This 71-nucleotide transfer RNA is filed under the name Marmota monax (woodchuck). It matches the Rfam family "tRNA". From Rfam's summary of the family: Transfer RNA (tRNA) molecules are approximately 80 nucleotides in length. Their secondary structure includes four short double-helical elements and three loops (D, anti-codon, and T loops). The record is from Rfam by way of RNAcentral. Lineage: Eukaryota; Metazoa; Chordata; Mammalia; Rodentia; Sciuridae.
GAGGUUGUAGCUCAGUGGUAGAGCACUUGCCUAGCAUGUGUGAAGCACUGGGUUCGAUCCUCAGCACCUCA